This is a long non-coding RNA of Chelonia mydas (Green sea turtle), 4055 nucleotides long. RefSeq lists it as uncharacterized. The transcript is spliced from 4 exons. Lineage: Eukaryota; Metazoa; Chordata; Testudines; Cheloniidae. The record is from RefSeq and is a predicted model, not a curated record.
UGCAUCUAAUAGUAUGGUGGCUUUUUGCAGGGCUUCAUUCAGAAGCCUAGAUGGCCUCAAUAGAUAAGGGUGAUAUCAGUGAUCAAAUUGGUGCUCUUAAUGAACAUCCCCAGAUGAAGGCAGAGGAGGAAAGACAGUCUUAGAGGAGCUCCACUGCAGCUUUCUAACAGAGUCCCAUAUUCCACUAAAGCUUCAGCAGCACCCUCUGAUCUUCAGUUUUCUGGUCAGAGCCUCAUCCUGGGGAACUGUCUCUGAGGGAUUGUCACAGAGUGACUGGUCCCUUUUUAAGAGGGGGCAGGUCCAGUGCACGUGUGACUCAUCAGCCACCUCUAACUGGAUUUUCAGAGAGCACCUGAGUCAGAGUCUGUACACUGGGGUCCUGGCUGCUCUGGAUGAAAUACUGAUGAGGUUUACGGAGGCCCAGCCCACUCCAAAAGGGCUGCAGAGCAUUUUCCAGGUUCAGGAUUACACAAUGAGCGCCAUCAACUACUCUUUGCCACUGCUGCCUCCUUAUUAACAUCAGGGCUGAUGAUAUGUAGGCCUGGACUUUGGAUGGUUCCAUCUUUCCUGUCUCUUGUAUUAUCCAUUCACUCUCUCCACCAGAGAGAUCCUUUGUGAGGAAACAAUGUAUAUUGCACACUGUUAAUUGCACAGCCGUAGAGGUUGGCCUUGUCUACAUGGAGCGUUGCACCAGCUUAAGUAAAGUGUGCAUUUAAACCAGUUUAGUUAAACCAGUCUGUAUGCUCUUAAUUUUGUUUGAGUGGCUUUUUUCACUUUACUUUGUCUGUUAGCUCAGGUUUAAGCUGAACUGAAUUGUUUUCCCAGGUCUUUCAUGCUGUAUGGUGUGAACUGGAGAAGCACUGAGCUUUCUCGAAAUAGUUUCCACAGUAGAAAAUGGUGAUUAUUAAACUUAUCCUCCUUUUGUGAAAUGCUUUCACAUGUAGGGAUCUAAAUACUAUCUAGGUGUUAAGUGUUAUGGUCUUUAAUGGCCCUUUGGUGCACAUUUCAGAGCCCUUAUGAAGCAGGAUGGCAAAGGCAUAUUGUUGUACUUCAACCAUCUUCCUUCCUGAGUAGUCAUUAGAUCUCCAUUAAAUCUCCCCAGUCCUUCUUAAAAAUAAGAAUAUUCAAACUUGGUUGACUAAAGACGGAUCCUUCUUUCCUGGAUCCUCCUUAUGUUGCUUCUUGGACUAUGUAACUGAGAAGCAGUGGAUGACUGAGGGUAUAGAGCAGCUGCUCAGCUGUAUGUCACUGGGCCAAAUUCUGUCCUUGGUUACACUCCUACAAUUCCUCUGAAACCACCACAUUACAGAGUAGAGUUAGCUUGUGUACUAAUACUUUGUUCUCCUAAUGAAUGGUUCUAGCUACUUAGGGAGGCACUGGGGGUCCUGGGGAUGUUGAUAUUUAAUAUCUGUAUAGAGGGAAUAUAGUUCUUUUCUGUGACUUCACAUCUCUGGUGGCUGGGCAGACACUCGGUGGUAGCUGCCAGUGGUACCAUCGUGGGACUGCUGGGGAGGGAAGUCACCUCUUGUUUCUUCAGGCACCAUCCACAUUCAUCUCAGCAGUGCUCCCUGUGAUGUGCACAUCGAGAUGCCUUAAAAUCCAACUCUAGGACAGUCUGGACAAAAGGAGGUGUGGGAAGAAUCCCACUGAAGAGAAUAUCCAAAUUGCCAAGGAAAAAGAUGGACACUUGAUCUCCAAUGCCCCAAGCUGCAACGUGAGUAAGGGCAACUAAUGAUUUUUAGACAAACUCUCUCCGGGAAAUGUUAACAAGUGAAUACUCACCUCUGGGAGACUGAGUCAUGGACAAUGUGCCUGUGAUUUUAAUUCAUGGAGAUAACUGAGACACUGGUCUGUAUUUAAGAACUAUUGCCCCUAGUGGUGCGUGAGCUGACCAAUGUGUGUACCUGACCAGAGGAAAAUGGCUGUAAUCUUGAUAUGGGGAAAGACCAUGUUAGUCAAAGAGCCAUUGGGGUCUUGCCCCUUAAGCCACAGAUUUUAGCAAACUCCCAGUCAAGUUAAUAAAUAUCCUUCAGGAUUGACAUUUUUUUUUAAAUUAGUUCACAUGAAUACUAGAAAAAUAGAGAUUAGGCAGCAACAUUUUCCAGAAAGUGAAUGUGGUCGUCCCCACUCCGCCCCCCGCCCAUAUUCAAGAUUGUCCACAGGCAGCGGUGUUAAUUAAAAUCUUCUUAACUCCUUUUUAAAAUAAAUGAACUGAACCUGUCUCUAGUUCAUCUUUAUAGAUGACCAAAUCAUAAUUGUGUAAUGCUGCUGAAACUUUGGAAACUUGUUCUGUACACUUUUGAGUUUGUUGAUCCUCUUGCUAGUGGAUGUGACUCUGAAGUGUUGUGUUCCAAAUGUCAUAGUUCAUAGUGUAUAGUCAAAAAGCUGAUGACAGAUCUUAUUCAUACAGCAGAGUUCCAAGUACAUUAUAGAGCAAAUAGAAAUGGAAUUUGCUGCCAGGAAGUCCCAAAAAUAUCUAAUGAUUUCAUCAGAGAUUAUAAAUAACUAUAGUGAACAGGCUUGAUCAUCUCACAUAUUGAGAAUUCCCAAUCUCGACAGCACAGCACCUAGAAGCCUGAUCUCAAGGUGAUUUGAGUGCAGAAGUAGGAUGGGAGAUGAACAUUUUAUUCAAAGAUGCAUUGUGAUAUAGCUCCUCAAGCUAAAGAUCUUAUCAAAGUUCCAGUCACAUCAAUAAAUAUCCUCAAAGUGUGGUACAUUUUAAUAUAUAUAUUUUUUCUGCAUUUGAGCUCCACUUUAGGCCACAAGACUUUUCCAGAGGUUGAAUAUAACCUCUAAAUUUAAGAUUAGCAGGUAAAGGUGCUAAAAAUCUCCUUAACCCCCUCUUGAAAAUAAACUAAGUGAACUGGUCUCUCGCUAAGUCUCUCCUUAUAAAUUACUGUAUCAUAGUUGUAUAACACAGCUGCAAAACUCGGAUCUGCUGCAAUGGUCUCAUGUAUUGUAUAACCUGAUGCUAUUGAACUUGUACAUGACUCUGUAGCUUUUAGUGAAGAAUGUCCCAGGCAGUGCAAGAAUAGGUGUCAAAUUCUUUUUAUUUUAAGGAGGAACAUCUCCUUUCUAAUGCUUCUUUUUCCUUUACACUUGCAGUGUUCUAAUGUACUAGGAAAAGAACAUGAUCAGCGGACUCUCCAUAGCUCUUUGGACUCCUUUAUCAACAGAAUAAACAAGAUUCAUUUCUUUUCUCUUUGUAAAGGGCAAGAAGCCGCUAGGUUUUCAUCUCCAGGACAAUGACCAAAUAGUGGAUAAAGUCAGAUGAAUUAUUCAUCAAAAUACAGGACUCAUCACAUGAAGGAAGGUGUUCUACAAAACCCUCCAUCUUGACCUUCAGCCCUGGCUCCCACACAACUGGAUCUCUGGCUGGAUCCUCUGUCCUCAUCCCUAGCUCAGUAAAGCUAGUUCAAUCCUGUUUCUACCACCCUUCAUCCCAUCCUCAAAGACAGUUUGGCCAAUGCUCUGCCGUUCCUCUCCCUUAUCCAGGGCAUUUAAUGAUUAAUAGAAAUGUCCGUGACAGCUUCUGUAAUGCUUUAUUGAUUUGAACAUGUGUGCACUGUACUAAGAGGAGACCAUCCAAAGUAUUUUCAUGGUAAGAUUUGACCCCAGACACCACAGCAAGGAGAGGCCCACAGAAAAGAAAAUUCAGCUAAAUCUUCUCUCAAAGCCUAAUCCAAUGAGGUCCCAUGAGGGGCUGACCUCCACCCCUGUUAGCAUCCCAGUUAUUUUUAGUAUUAAUGCUUCCAUGCCAGAAAGACUUUGGAAGCUUUAGUAAAUGGUGAACGAGGGUAUAAUAAAUCAUUAAAUUAUUCAUAACUAAGGGAACAUGUCUAAAUGCAUACGAGAACAAGAGCAAAUACUCAGCAUCCCUUCCCCAACAUGCACUGAACAAUCCACCAAAUACUCACAUGAAAGAGAAAAACAAUUAUGCACGUAAGUACAGUUCUACUCUGUAAAAAUGUCAUGGUGCCAUCCCAUGUCUCUAGCCUCUGAUUUCCAUAUCUGAUGUGCUCACUUUACCAAUAAAACAUGUAUUUUCUAGCUGC